GUCCACGCUGUAAACGAUGGAUGCUAGCUGUCGCGGGUUUUACCCCUGCGGCGGCGUAGCUAACGCGAUAAGCAUCCCGCCUGGGGAGUACGGCCGCAAGGCUAAAACUCAAAGGAAUUGACGGGGGCCCGCACAAGCGGUGGAGUAUGUGGUUUAAUUCGACGCAACGCGCAGAACCUUACCCAGACUUGACAUCCCGAGAACCUGCCGGAAAUGGUGGGGUGCCCGCAAGGGGAGCUCGGAGACAGGUGCUGCAUGGCUGUCGU
RNAcentral lists this ribosomal RNA (266 nucleotides) under uncultured bacterium. Its description in RNAcentral is "partial 16S ribosomal RNA". It matches the Rfam family "Bacterial small subunit ribosomal RNA", at positions 793 to 1055 of the family's 1533-position model. The record is from RNAcentral.